RNAcentral lists this ribosomal RNA (497 nucleotides) under uncultured bacterium. RNAcentral describes it as "partial 16S ribosomal RNA". It matches the Rfam family "Bacterial small subunit ribosomal RNA", at positions 28 to 507 of the family's 1533-position model. The record is from RNAcentral.
GAUGAACGCUGGCGGCGUGCCUAAUACAUGCAAGUCGAGCGAACAGACGAGGAGCUUGCUCCUCUGACGUUAGCGGCGGACGGGUGAGUAACACGUGGAUAACCUACCUAUAAGACUGGGAUAACUUCGGGAAACCGGAGCUAAUACCGGAUAAUCUAUUGAACCGCAUGGUUCAAUAGUGAAAGACGGUUUUGCUGUCACUUAUAGCUGGAUCCGCGCCGCAUUAGCUAGUUGGUAAGGUAACGGGCUACCAAGGCAACCAUGCGUAGCCGAACUGAGGGAGUGAUCGGCCACCCUGGAACUGGGACACGGUCCAGACUCCUACGGGAGGCAGCAGUAGGGAAUGUUCGGCAAUGGGCGAAAGCCUUACGGAGCAACGCCGCGUGAGUGAUGAAGGUCUUCGGAUCGUAAAACUCUGUUAUUAGGGAAGAACAAAUGUGUAAGGAACUAUGCACGUCUUGACGGUACCUAAUCAGAAAGCCACGGCUAACUACGUG